This 481-nucleotide ribosomal RNA is filed under the name uncultured organism. RNAcentral's name for it is "bacterial SSU rRNA". It matches the Rfam family "Bacterial small subunit ribosomal RNA", at positions 28 to 507 of the family's 1533-position model. The record is from RNAcentral.
GACGAACGCUGGCGGCGUGCCUAACACAUGCAAGUCGAACGAGGUACUCAAGAACAAGUUUUCGGACGAGGGAAUGAGCACCGAGUGGCGGACGGGUGAGUAACGCGUGAGUAACCUGCCUUUCGGAGGGGGACAACAGUUGGAAACGACUGCUAAUACCGCAUAAUGUAUAUUGUGGGCAUCCACGAUAUACCAAAGAUUUAUCGCCGAAAGAUGGACUCGCGUCUGAUUAGCUAGUUGGUAGGGUAACGGCCUACCAAGGCUGCGAUCAGUAGCCGGACUGAGAGGUUGAACGGCCACAUUGGGACUGAGAUACGGCCCAGACUCCUACGGGAGGCAGCAGUGGGGAAUAUUGGGCAAUGGGGGAAACCCUGACCCAGCAACGCCGCGUGAAGGAAGAAGGCUUUCGGGUUGUAAACUUCUUUGACGAGGGACGAAAGAAAUGACGGUACCUCGAAAACAAGCUACGGCUAACUACGUG